AGUGUCAGGGGCGGGCCUGGGGCCGCUAAGCGCAGGCUCCCUGGGCUGGCACCGCCCUAGGCUGGAGAAAGAGGAAACACGUUGGUCUGCGCACUCAGAGCCGAGUCAAAUGUGCAGGAAGAUUCCCCCAAACUGAAAGAAGGUCAACAGCAAAUUUGAGGCAGUGGAUAUGAGGAUAGAGGAGACACUCCUGAAGACUUCACUUUCUCCAUUUCUGUACUUGAAUUUUUACACCAAGCAUACAGCUUGAAAAAAUUAAAUGAGUAUGCAGUAUUUUAAAAAUCAACAAAAGCUUCACAUUUUAAUUUUCACUUGAAAAAAAAACAUGAGUGGUACUCAGCAGAACAACAACUAUAUCGUAUAAGCUGCAUCAGAGACAAAUGAAGAUGAAAAAACUAUCCUCCUAUAUAACUAAUCUGUGCUGUGCCCCAACAAAGCCUGCUUUAAAUUUCCGUGCCAAUUACAACCCCCAUUCUGUAUCAGGCAAGGAAGACUCCUCUACCCUUGAUUCUGGAUUGGAAAGGUCACAAGGCUUAGAUUCCACAGGAGGAGGUGAAGACAUCUGCAGAGUCUGUACUGCGAGCUGAAGCUUUAUUUGCUUGUUGGAUCCCCAAAAGGUCCAAAUCCAGUCUGCACCAAACAGGAAGGCUUGGUGCUUGGUCAUCUUGGUGGUGGUCAGCCACUCAUCAACUCCCUUUUCUUGGCAGAAAGUGAUGAAAUGGAUUAAGAAGAUCUCAUUCAGAGUAUUUGCAGCUGGGCAGAGUUUACUUGGAGGAUAUUCAAAUCCAAGGUACUCCUUCAGUUUCUGAGCUGCAUGGACUAUAGCUUCACUGACCACCUCACAGACGACGGGCACCUCUUUGCUGUCCUUCAGAGCCAACUGUUGCGAUGCUUUCUGCCCCAUUUUCUCUGCAUCCAAAUAUCAAACAUGUGAAUCUGGUUCAGACGUACUUCUUUUUCAAAGUAAAAGUUCUGCAGGGAGGCCACAUCUGUUAAUGGUUCAUGUUUUUCUAACUCUACAGCUUCCUCGGGUGUAGUUAAGCAUAUAUACAUACAGCUAAAUAAACAUGUUAGUUCUC
Long non-coding RNA from Homo sapiens (human), 1079 nucleotides. Ensembl annotates it as MRPS35 divergent transcript. Its record names the gene MRPS35-DT. The record is from Ensembl. NCBI's taxonomy places the organism in Eukaryota, Metazoa, Chordata, Mammalia, Primates, Hominidae.